GUUUCUCAGAGUGUUGAAGAUAAGGGGAAUGAGCCCCAGAAGUGGUUCUCAAGCAGGGGUGUAUGGCAAAGUCACCCACGGAACUUAAAAAGGAUUCCCAGGACUCACAUGCAACCUAGCAGAUCAGGUUACCAUUUCCUAGGGUGGGGCUCAGGCAUAUGGUUUAAAAUUCUCCCUAGUUGAUUUUGAUGCCUCCCCACCCUCACCCUAUGAUGACAAUGUUUAGACUGGCUGAUCUGUAGCUGCUUUCACUCCAAGGAUGAAUCCUGGAAAUUGCAGUUAGCUGAGUUUGCAUAACAAAGAAAAUGCAGUAGACAGCAGGCAGUUUGAGAACAAUCAUGAUUGGGGAAACCCUCCCUGGUAAGGAUCUUGUUUAUCAUGAUCAAUAGCGAAGGGUUUGGCCAAGGAAGGCACUCAAUAAGGUUCGUACUGGUUGAAAGAAUGAGUGAAUGAAUGAAUGAAAGAGCAGGCUUCACAGAGACAAAAAUAAAAUGUUCUUUGUUCUUCCUUUUGCACAAAAACUGGCCCCGAUGCCCUUACUUAAAGGCAAAUAAAUCUCUAGAGAUCUAAAUGGAUUUUUUUAAUUGCCAUUUUGCAUUUUUAAGAUCUUCAGAUCGGGUAUAAUACAUCAGAAAGGAGUCCCAAUAAAUAAAGGAAUGCCAUCCUUUGUCUGCUCUUUUCAAAUUGCAUUUGCAAUGAAUGUUAUCAGCAUAGCAAACUGUCUACGCAAAAAAGUGUUAUUUUUGAAGGCUAAAUUUGAUCCAAGAUGAAAGUAACUUUUAAAAAUUGCAUCCUAGUUAAAGAUAUCAAUAUCACACAAUUUUAAAAAAGAACUAUUUGUAUUCUACUCAAAGAGACAACAGUAUAUAACAUUGGUUUCUAAAACAAUAUUUUCUGAACCCUUGGCUGUGUACUGACAUCAUAUGCUGGGCUGAACUUUGCAUAUGUGACUCAAGAGAGAGAAAAGAGAUGUAUUCCCAUCCUCAGUCUCUGCUCUACUGUAGAAGAGUACUGCAAGCUUCUAGAGACCCAGGUUUGUCUUAAUUCUUGGUGAUUUCAAGUCUAAACUUAAGAUGGUUUAAAGAGUCUAACACAACAUUAGAGUUUAGCUACGUAGAUUUGUACUUUUAAAUAGGACAUAAUGCUCUGUAGUUUUUUUUUUUAAUGUUACGUUGAUAAAUCGUUCAUUAUUACAAUUUUUAAAGUCAGAGGUAUUGUAACGGGAUACAUUAACUACCCAACUUAUAAAGACUUAAGUGUUUUCUCCCGUUCGCUCUUUUGGCUUUUCCUUUCUGGUUAAGAAACUUUCAUUCUUUUGAACCCUGCAAUUUCUUGGCUUUACAGAGCCCCAAACCCCAAAGACACCAAGAUAAGACGGGCAGGCCGGUAUGGGGAGGUCCCACAAUGACAUCAGCAUUUGGAACAAUUCAAACCUUCACCAUCUCUUCUCAACCUCCUAUGUCCUCGCCCCCCGUAAAAGAUGCGCAGGACCUCGAUGGACGAGCCCACCCCUGACCCUCUCAAGGAAAGACAAUGCCAGGCUGGUUUUCGAGUUUAUUGUCGGCACGCUCCCCCGAUGGCAGGCAGCAUCCGAGGCGAGCGCGCCUGAGCCUGGGCGCUCGGAGGACGAGGCCAGGUGCAUCGGGCGCAUCGUCGUCUCCCAGGCGCGUCCCGCUCGCCGCGAGGGAAGGCCGGGGUUCUUCCAACCGAAGAAAACCAAAACCGUCAACGCUCAGCUCCGAGGCCCGCAGGAGGCUUUAAAAAUGGCCUCCUGACGACACUUCCUGCUCGGCGCGGACGGCAGAGAGACACGGCGGUGGGGAAGACACCUAGACUUCGGGAUUUCCAGGACUGGCCCUAUCUCCUGCUGGGUGUGAGGACUCUGGCCAAGUUUGCCACCUCUCCGGGGUUUCAUUUUUCUCUUAGGGCUUUGUGAGUACAAAAUGAGACAAUGAGUCUUUCCUUUCUGUGAAAACUAUAAAAUGCCAUAUGAAUUUGAGCAGAGGGAGGUAGCACAUAAAAGAUUCUAGUCCACAAGACAGUGUUCAAGCAAGCACUGAGCGCAGGCACAAGCACAGCUUGCCCUGAUGGGCUUUUGUUAUGAAGAAAUGGUCUUGAAUCUCAGCCUAAACAAACAAUGGGGAAGCGUCUUGGCAAAAGAUAAGGAGCAAGAAUGUGUUUUUGCACUAGACCUUCUUGUUCUUUAGAUGAUAUCAACUUCUAGCAGAAUGCCAACUAAAGUUGCAAAGAAAACAAACAGUUCUGCACAUUUCCUGCCAUCUAAGGCUGACCCCCCAUCUCCCAAUUCUUUUUUGCCUGUUUGUGAUUGGAGGGCCUACUGUCCUCUCAGACUGACCAAAGGGUUAUGAUUUGCGGUCAUCGUCAUCGUGAGCAGCACCCAACUACUACUCGAGAUACCCAGGCCUAGCUUACAGGAAGCAGGGGACGGAGUCCUGUAUUCAGGCACCUUGGAUGUGUGGGUUCCCCCAGCAGCUGAGCAUCACCCCAGCCUGCUCCUUCCAGGUGACACUAAGGAAGUGCAACCCCUCCCAGAAGAGCAUGAGCCUGGUGAAGUCCUCAGUGGAACCAGAACUGUUCUUCUCGUCAAGCAGUUAUCUAUGUUAUCUUUCUUGGCACGAUUGUCUUAUGGAUUAGGGAGAUUAGGGGUAAUAAAUGUCUCGUUUGAGUGACAAGCUGGAAA
This 2701-nucleotide long non-coding RNA is filed under the name Homo sapiens (human). Its description in RNAcentral is "HSALNT0318220". The record is from RNAcentral. Lineage: Eukaryota; Metazoa; Chordata; Mammalia; Primates; Hominidae.